CUAGACUGGUGGGGUCCACCCCCACGAAUCUUUAGUUAACAGCAAAACACCCUAGUUAACUGGCUUCAAUCUA
Molecule: transfer RNA, 73 nt
Filed under: Bos indicus (zebu cattle)
Lineage: Eukaryota; Metazoa; Chordata; Mammalia; Artiodactyla; Bovidae
Description: tRNA-Asn
Source: RNAcentral